GGGACGAUAAGGAACAAUAUAGAAAACAUGAGUGAAACGGAAGUAGAGAGAGCAGAGAACGGAAGUGAGACAAGAAGCAUACUUUGAGGAAUAAUAAU
This is a long non-coding RNA of Xenia sp. Carnegie-2017, 98 nucleotides long. RefSeq lists it as uncharacterized. The transcript is spliced from 3 exons. The record is from RefSeq and is a predicted model, not a curated record. Lineage: Eukaryota; Metazoa; Cnidaria; Anthozoa; Malacalcyonacea; Xeniidae.